This 271-nucleotide long non-coding RNA is filed under the name Phoenix dactylifera (date palm). RNAcentral's name for it is "long non-coding RNA (PDAC_LNC009755)". Lineage: Eukaryota; Viridiplantae; Streptophyta; Magnoliopsida; Arecales; Arecaceae. The record is from RNAcentral.
GAAGGCAAGGAAGAAGACCUUUGGCUAAGGGAGAGUAAAGCAAAGAAAUGGAAAACGAGCAACUGGUGGUAUUCUAUGAAUGUAAGAAACCAGGCCACUUUAGAGCGGCCUACUCAUUGCUUAAGAAAACUCUCAAGAAUCCAAAAAGAAAAGCAAUAGUUGCUCCCUACAGUGAUAGUGACGAAUCGAGUUCAGAAGAACAAAACUAAGAAACUGUGAACUUAUUCCUCAUGGUUCUUGUAGAUUAGGUAAGUUUUGAACCUUGGAAUAA